UAUCAUUAUGAUGUACUUUGCGUGUUACAGUGUGUGCAGCAGCAGUUGCCUUCUUUCAUUAAGCUGGUACAUGGGAAUGAAGAGUAUUGGGUCUGAGCA
Small nucleolar RNA from Pristis pectinata (smalltooth sawfish), 99 nucleotides. RefSeq annotates it as small nucleolar RNA SNORD16. Lineage: Eukaryota; Metazoa; Chordata; Chondrichthyes; Rhinopristiformes; Pristidae. The record is from RefSeq and is a predicted model, not a curated record. The transcript has a single exon.